GACGUAGGGCGCGAGCGUUGUCCGGAUUUAUUGGGCGUAAAGAGCUCGUAGGCGGCUUGUCGCGUCGACUGUGAAAACCCACGGCUCAACUGUGGGCUUGCAGUCGAUACGGGCAGGCUAGAGUUCGGUAGGGGAGACUGGAAUUCCUGGUGUAGCGGUGAAAUGCGCAGAUAUCAGGAGGAACACCAAUAGCGAAGGCAGCUCGCUGGGACGGUACUGACGCUAAGGCGCGAAAGCGUGGGGAGCGAACAGG
RNAcentral lists this ribosomal RNA (253 nucleotides) under uncultured bacterium. RNAcentral's name for it is "partial 16S ribosomal RNA". It matches the Rfam family "Bacterial small subunit ribosomal RNA", at positions 524 to 776 of the family's 1533-position model. The record is from RNAcentral.